GUUGGUGCAAAAGUAAUUGCAGUUUUUGUAUUACUUGUAACAGUAAAAACUGCAAUUACUUUU
Molecule: microRNA precursor, 63 nt
Organism: Cebus imitator (Panamanian white-faced capuchin)
Lineage: Eukaryota; Metazoa; Chordata; Mammalia; Primates; Cebidae
Source: Ensembl